Molecule: long non-coding RNA, 231 nt
Filed under: Polistes fuscatus (common paper wasp)
Lineage: Eukaryota; Metazoa; Arthropoda; Insecta; Hymenoptera; Vespidae
Description: uncharacterized LOC122520370
Source: RNAcentral
UGGCUCAAUUAAUUACUGAUAUUACUGAGAAACCAUUUUCCAAUUCUCUGUAUUCUGGGUAUACAGUAAUUCCAGAUUUUGAAGCAGCUGAUUCAGAGCAAUCGAUAGAAAUGGUUCAACCUAAUAUGUCAGUUCAAUCUCGAGAGAUCUGGUUCGUUUUUUCGGGGAUGGGAUCACAAUGGAUCGGAAUGGGUGAAUCACUAAUGAAAAUACCAAUCUUUGCCGAAGCAA